AACCUUAUGGACCUGCGGGCGUAUACCUGCGGAGGGAUCAUUACACAAUACAAUAUGAAGGCUGUCCGCAGCUGGAGUAUUUUAUUACCCUUGUCUUUUGCGCACUUGUUGUUUCCUGGGCGGGUUCGCUCGCCACCAGGACCACCAAAUAAACCUUUUUUAUGCAGUUGCAAUCAGCGUCAGUACAAACAAUGUAAAUCAUUUACAACUUUCAGCAACGGAUCUCAGAUCGGAAGAGCA
This 240-nucleotide unclassified non-coding RNA is filed under the name soil metagenome. RNAcentral's name for it is "partial contains 5.8S ribosomal RNA, internal transcribed spacer 2, and large subunit ribosomal RNA". The record is from RNAcentral.